This 497-nucleotide ribosomal RNA is filed under the name uncultured bacterium. RNAcentral's name for it is "partial 16S ribosomal RNA". It matches the Rfam family "Bacterial small subunit ribosomal RNA", at positions 28 to 507 of the family's 1533-position model. The record is from RNAcentral.
GACGAACGCUGGCGGCGUGCCUAAUACAUGCAAGUUGAGCGCUGAAGGUUGGUACUUGUACCGACUGGAUGAGCAGCGAACGGGUGAGUAACGCGUGUGGAAUCUGCCUUUGAGCGGGGGACAACAUUGGGAAACGAAUGCUAAUACCGCAUAAAAACUUUAAACACAAGUUUUAAGUUUGAAAGAUGCAAUUGCAUCACUCAAAGAUGAUCCCGCGUUGUAUUAGCUAGUUGGUGAGGUAAAGGCUCACCAAGGCGAUGAUACAUAGCCGACCUGAGAGGGUGAUCGGCCACAUUGGGACUGAGACACGGCCCAAACUCCUACGGGAGGCAGCAGUAGGGAAUCUUCGGCAAUGGACGAAAGUCUGACCGAGCAACGCCGCGUGAGUGAAGAAGGUUUUCGGAUCGUAAAACUCUGCUGGUAGAGAAGAACGUUGGUGAGAGUGGAAAGCUCAUCAAGUGACGGUAACUACCCAGAAAGGGACGGCUAACUACGUG